Molecule: ribosomal RNA, 397 nt
Filed under: uncultured bacterium
Lineage: Bacteria
Description: partial 16S ribosomal RNA
Rfam family: Bacterial small subunit ribosomal RNA
Source: RNAcentral
ACUACGGGCGGCAGCAGUGAGGAAUAUUGGUCAAUGGGCGCGAGCCUGAACCAGCCAAGUCGCGUGAGGGAUGACUGCCCUACGGGUUGUAAACUUCUUUUGUCAAGGAAUAAAGUGGGGCACGUGUGCCUUUUUGUAUGUACUUUAUGAAUAAGGCUCGGCUAACUCCGUGCCAGCAGCCGCGGUAAUACGGAGGAUCCGAGCGUUAUCCGGAUUUAUUGGGUUUAACGGGAGCGUAGAUGGGAUGUUAAGUCAGGUGUGAAAGGUUGGGGCUCAACCGUAAAAUUGCAUUUGAAACUGGCAGUCUUGAGUACAGGUGAGGUAGGCGGAAUUCGUGGUGUAGCGGUGAAAUGCUUAGAUAUCACGAAGAACUCCGAUUGCGAAGGCAGCUUACUAA